This 287-nucleotide ribosomal RNA is filed under the name uncultured bacterium. Its description in RNAcentral is "partial 16S ribosomal RNA". It matches the Rfam family "Bacterial small subunit ribosomal RNA", at positions 29 to 334 of the family's 1533-position model. The record is from RNAcentral.
AACGAACGCUGGCGGCAGGCCUAACACAUGCAAGUCGAGCGACAAGGAACUUCGGUUCUGGAGGAGCGGCGCACGGGUGAGUAACAUGUGGGAACGUACCUUAAGGUUCGGGACAACCAUUGGAAACGAUGGCUAAUACCGGAUGUGCCCUGCGGGGGAAAGAUUUAUCGCCUUAAGAUCGGCCCGCAUUAGAUUAGGUAGUUGGUGAGGUAACGGCUCACCAAGCCUACGAUCUAUAGCUGGUCUGAGAGGAUGAUCAGCCACACUGGGACUGAGACACGGCCCAG